GUGCCAGCAGCCGCAAUACGUAGGGUGCGAGCGUUAAUCGGAAUUACUGGGCGUAAAGCGUGCGCAGGCGGUUUUGUAAGACAGAUGUGAAAUCCCCGGGCUCAACCUGGGAACUGCAUUUGUGACUGCAUGGCUAGAGUACGGUAGAGGGGGAUGGAAUUCCGCGUGUAGCAGUGAAAUGCGUAGAUAUGCGGAGGAACACCGAUGGCGAAGGCAAUCCCCUGGACCUGUACUGACGCUCAUGCACGAAAGCGUGGGGAGCAAACAGGAUUAGGUACCCUGGUAGUCCACGCCCUAAACG
RNAcentral lists this ribosomal RNA (301 nucleotides) under uncultured bacterium. RNAcentral describes it as "bacterial SSU rRNA". It matches the Rfam family "Bacterial small subunit ribosomal RNA", at positions 505 to 808 of the family's 1533-position model. The record is from RNAcentral.